UACGGAGGGGGCUAGCGUUGUUCGGAAUUACUGGGCGUAAAGCGCACGUAGGCGGACCGACAAGUCGGGGGUGAAAUCCCGGGGCUCAACCCCGGAACUGCCUCCGAAACUGUCGGUCUGGAGGUCGAGAGAGGCGAGUGGAAUUCCGAGUGUAGAGGUGAAAUUCGUAGAUAUUCGGAGGAACACCAGUGGCGAAGGCGGCUCGCUGGCUCGAUACUGACGCUGAGGUGCGAAAGCGUGGGGAGCAAACAGG
This 253-nucleotide ribosomal RNA is filed under the name uncultured bacterium. RNAcentral describes it as "partial 16S ribosomal RNA". It matches the Rfam family "Bacterial small subunit ribosomal RNA", at positions 524 to 776 of the family's 1533-position model. The record is from RNAcentral.